This 425-nucleotide ribosomal RNA is filed under the name uncultured bacterium. Its description in RNAcentral is "partial 16S ribosomal RNA". It matches the Rfam family "Bacterial small subunit ribosomal RNA", at positions 354 to 796 of the family's 1533-position model. The record is from RNAcentral.
GUGGGGAAUCUUGCGCAAUGGGCGAAAGCCUGACGCAGCCAUGCCGCGUGAAUGAUGAAGGUCUUAGGAUUGUAAAAUUCUUUCACCGGGGACGAUAAUGACGGUACCCGGAGAAGAAGCCCCGGCUAACUUCGUGCCAGCAGCCGCGGUAAUACGAAGGGGGCUAGCGUUGCUCGGAAUUACUGGGCGUAAAGGGCGCGUAGGCGGACAGUUUAGUCAGAGGUGAAAGCCCAGGGCUCAACCUUGGAAUUGCCUUUGAUACUGGCUGUCUUGAGUACGGGAGAGGUGAGUGGAACUCCGGGUGUAGAGGUGAAAUUCGUAGAUAUUCGGAAGAACACCAGUGGCGAAGGCGACUCACUGGCCCGUUACUGACGCUGAGGCGCGAAAGCGUGGGGAGCAAACAGGAUUAGAAACCCUUGUAGUCC